Molecule: non-coding RNA, 507 nt
Organism: Acomys russatus (golden spiny mouse)
Lineage: Eukaryota; Metazoa; Chordata; Mammalia; Rodentia; Muridae
Source: the annotation of a RefSeq genome assembly
AUGGAAUGGAGCUGGGUCAUCCUCUUCCUCCUGUCAGUAACUACAGGUGUCCAUACUCAGGUCCAGCUGAAGCAGUCGGGGGCUGAGCUGAGGAGACCUGGGUCCUCAGUGAAGUUGUCCUGCAAAGCUUCUGGCUACACCUUCACAGACUACUAUAUGCACUGGGUGAAGCAGAAGCCUGGACAUGUCAUGGAGUGGAUUGGACGGAUUGGUGGUGGAAGUGGUAGUACUUACUACAAUCAGAAGUUCCAGGGCAAGGCCACACUGACUGUAGACAAAUCCUCCAGCACAGCCUACAUGGAUCUCAGCGGUCUGACAUCUGAGGACGCUGCGGUCUAUUACUGUGCGAGAGACACAGUGCUGCAACCACAUCCUGAGAUUGUUGAAAAGCCUGGAGGAGCAGGAAGCUGCCCUGGGACUGAGAUGAAAGGGGAGAUAAGCCUGGAGAUUUGCUCAGAAAAAAAAUUUUUGAGCAUUCAUUUUUCUGCUCUUUUCACAGUCUUCUAG